This 253-nucleotide ribosomal RNA is filed under the name uncultured bacterium. RNAcentral describes it as "partial 16S ribosomal RNA". It matches the Rfam family "Bacterial small subunit ribosomal RNA", at positions 524 to 776 of the family's 1533-position model. The record is from RNAcentral.
UACGGGGGGGGCAAGCGUUGUUCGGAAUUACUGGGCGUAAAGGGUUUGUAGGUGGCCGGCUAAGUCAGACGUGAAAUCCCUCAGCUUAACUGGGGAACUGCGUCUGAUACUGGAUGGCUCGAGUGUGGGAGAGGAAUGCGGAAUUCCAGGUGUAGCGGUGAAAUGCGUAGAUAUCUGGAGGAACACCGGUGGCGAAGGCGGCAUUCUGGACCAUAACUGACACUGAGAGACGAAAGCCAGGGGAGCAAACAGG